Molecule: long non-coding RNA, 1722 nt
Organism: Zophobas morio
Lineage: Eukaryota; Metazoa; Arthropoda; Insecta; Coleoptera; Tenebrionidae
Exons: 3
Source: RefSeq, a predicted model, not a curated record
UCAGUAAUUCAGUCGCAGAUGGCUUACAUUAUUUUAAACAAAAGUAUAAAGAGUUUGAGGAAGUUGAUAGUACCAUCAAAUUUACGAAGCGUGUAAACAACUUAUUUGAUGCCUUAAACCGCCGUCAUCCAUUAGAAGGUAUUCGAGAAAAUAGUAAAGAUUUUGAUACUUUAAAUGAAAAUCUAGCAUGGUUUAACGAAUGGGAACGAAUGGUAGAAGAAGGAAAAAUUAGCAAAAGUCAAUUCUUGACAAAAUCCACGACAGAAGGACUGCGUGUUACGAUUUUGUCAACAAUUGAACUUUGUAAGUAUCUUCUGUCAAACGGUUUUAAAUACGUUUUAACAAAUAAAAUGAACCAAGAUCCUUUAGAGGUAAGUUGCUUCGUAAAAUUACACAUUGAUGCUUGGAGUGGGAUGUAGUUAGUUUUCUUGUAGAUAAUGAUAAUGAAGAUACUUAACUAUAACAUGCACAAUUGCACAUACCCGCUUUGCAUUUGACAUUUUGCGUUCAUUCCGCAUCGAAAAGUUACGCCAACAAUUCUUUCUUUUUUGCCGGGGCAUUAGGUUCUUAUUUUAUCUAAGUAGCUGUUAGGUUUACUUUUUUUGUUUAUUAAAGGGUUUUAACUUUUAUUGCAGUAGUGAACUGCUGCUUUUGAACAAUACUUUGCACUAAAAAAUACUGGUCGUCGCUAUAGUAAUAGCAGGCAUUUUAUGUUGAAUUUUAUUUUUACUUAAAACAAUUACUCCCUUUUUAUCGGUUAUGUGUUAUGUUUUAACAUUCAGUAAACAGAAUUUAUGUUUAUUUUCAGAGGGUUUUUGAAUGCGAUAUGUAUUUUUUCUUUAUUCCACAGAGACUAUAUUUUUUGCAGAGAUUUUUCGGCACAAUUCGACAAGCAGGUUGUGCCAAUGGACAUCCCACAUUUAUAACUUUUUUGCAGCUAUACCGAAUGUUAUCGGUUUAUAAAUUAUUAAAACCUCCGAAAUUUGGCAAUUGCACACAGAUGCAGGAAAAUAGUAAUGCAAAUCAUUCGUUAUCAUUUAAUGACUUCAAAAAUAUUUUUGAAACAAAUCCAGAAUGCGGGAAAAAUCAUGUUGAGAAAAUAAAAAGGAAAAUUGAAUAUAUUUUAGAUACAGAUUCACCAAUUAACGAAAUAGACGAACAACUAUUUGAAGAUGUCACUACAACUGAAAUUGUUGACAACAUCAUUUAUUACUUAGCUGGAUUUGUCGCAAAAAAAUUGUACAAUACUUCAAAAUGUAAUAUUUGCCGUGAACAGUUAUACAACAAAGAAGAUCCAUGUUCUAGUACAUCUGAAUUUACUAGUACAAAAUCUAGGGGGUGGUUAAACCAUCCAGAUUCGUUAAUGUUUAAUAUGUUCCGAUGGGUGGAAGGGAUACUUAUGAAAUAUAUCGAUUUUGUGGAUGUUUUCGAUGCAACAAUUGAAGAGCUAUUCGCAACAAAAAAUUUUAUGACUAUUUACUUUCCUUUUUCUUGUGAAGAGCAUAGAUUGGAAAUAUUUUCAAAGGCAAUAUAUUUUUACACAAUUAUGCGAAUUAAACAAUUUUAUAAACAGGAACAAGAGAAAACAACCAAGGCAUGUGCAGAAAAAAGAAAAGAGUCUCGACUGCAGACUACGUAAUAAUGUUGUCUUGUGAAACGAACAGAAGUGAGUGAAACUAAUAUAAUAUGUGAAGGCGAAAAGAACUACAUUUUACAUUCAUG